Molecule: non-coding RNA, 1174 nt
Organism: Lolium perenne
Lineage: Eukaryota; Viridiplantae; Streptophyta; Magnoliopsida; Poales; Poaceae
Source: RefSeq, a predicted model, not a curated record
AUAUACAUGUUUUCAACAAAAUAAAAUUAUUUUAUAAACCCUAAUUAUUUUAUUUUGCUCUUAUAUGGUUUCUAUAAUAAACCACCCCUUUUGUCUUUUCUAUUAAAAUAAAACUCUAACUUUUCUAACCAGGCCACCCCUCUCUGGCCCGUCUGUCCCUUUCUUCCUGGCAGCCCAGCUCUCCUCUUCCUCUGGCCCGAUCCGGCCCAACCCACCUUACCCUCCACCAGGCCCAUACCUCUUCGAGUGGAGAGGCUCUCCACUUUUGUCCUGUUGUCGUCUUCCUCAUCUCACGAGAAGGACGUGAGCGAGCAGCUCAUCCGGUCCUCACCUGCUCCCCUGGUCCUCCACCACAUGUUUCCCUCUUUUAUCCCCAGCGUUGCACCCUCCUGGAAACCCUAGCCCUAUCCUCCUCCCUCGCGCCGCCACCCUAUCCUCGCUCCCCUUGGUUUCCUCUCUACCUGCUCACAGAGAGCGACCCAAACAGCCACCGGGAACACCACCUCGCCAUGGCGUCGCCGCUCCAAGGCUCCCCCACCAUUCCGAGGGCACCAUCAGAUGCGGCUCGUCGUCCUCGUCAUCCCCCUGCAACGAAUCGAGUCAAUACCCUGUAAAUCGAGCGCAAGGUCGCCGAUUCUUCGCGCCGGACUUCAUGCUUCUUCUCCGAUUCCGGCCGCCCUCGUCCUCCUCCGGCCAAACCGAGCGCACCUCCAGCUUCCCCGUGUCCAGGCGCACCCUCGACGCCCUCGCGCUCGCGCUGUUUCGCACGCAACCGUCGGGUUCUUCUCCGACCAGGGUCGUCCGCCAUGGCUGCCAUCGAGCUCCGCCUCUAUCUCUUUCAUCUUGCAGCGCGGCGUCCUCUUGACAUGAUGUGAACAGUAGCAUACUGAUCUGGCAUUCAAAGAUGCUUCACCUCGUGCCUGAGAUCAUCCUAGCCAACAUCAGCAACCAGCCUGCUGAUCGGCAGAUGGGCCUCAGCCAAGAUCUAUCCGGUGCAGCUGCUCACCCGCGCGGCCCGUAACUCCUCAUCGCCGCUUGCACGCCCAACAGGCCGGCCCACGUGCGCGAACCUUCCUCCCGCCGGCCAGCAUUUGCUUCUUCCCGGAUAGGAUCACGAAGUGGUGAUGUGAGAUACGACGAGUUCUCCGACAAGUUCUUCUUCAGCUUUUCACAG